AUUCUGGUUGAUCCUGCCAGAGGUUACUGCUAUCGGGGUCCGACUAAGCCAUGCGAGUCGAGAGGGUAAAGCCCUCGGCGCAAUGCUCAGUAACACGCGGAUAACCUGCCCUUGGGUCCGGGAUAACCCCGGGAAACUGGGACUAAUACCGGAUAGAUCAAAGAUACUGGAAUGUUCUUUGGUCCAAAACUCCGGUGCCCAAGGAUGGGUCUGCGGCCUAUCAGGUAGUAGUGGGUGUAACGUACCUACUAGCCUACGACGGGUAAGGGUUGUGAGAGCAAGAUCCCUGAGAUGGAUUCUGAGACAUGAAUCCAGGCCCUACGGGGUGCAGCAGGCGCGAAACCUUUACACUGCGGGAAACCGCGAUAAGGGGACCCCGAGUGCCAGCACCUAGUGCUGGCUGUCCUGCUGUCUAAACAACAGUGGUUAGCAAGGGCCGGGCAAGACCGGUGCCAGCCGCCGCGGUAACACCGGCGGCCCGAGUGGUAGCCGCUAUUAUUGGGUUUAAAGGGUCCGUAGCCGGCCUAUUAAGUCUCUUGGGAAAUCUGGCGGCUUAAUCGUCAGGCGGCCAAGAGAUACUGGUAGGCUUGGGACCGGGAGAGAUGGGAGGUACUCCAGGGGUAGGGGUGAAAUCUUGUAAUCCUUGGGGGACCACCGAUGGCGAAGGCAUCCCAUCAGAACGGGUCCGACGGUGAGGGACGAAAGCUGGGGGCACGAACCGGAUUAGAUACCCGGGUAGUCCCAGCUGUAAACGAUGCUCGCUAGGUGUCAGGUGCGGUGCGACCGCAUCUGGUGCCGCAGUGAAAACUUGAAGCGAGUCACCUGGGAAGUACGGUCGCAAGGCUGAAACUUAAAGGAAUUGGCGGGGGAGCACUACAACGGGUGGAGCCUGCGGUUCAAUUGGAUUCAACGCCGGAAAGCUUACCGG
This 928-nucleotide ribosomal RNA is filed under the name Candidatus Methanoperedens sp. RNAcentral describes it as "bacterial SSU rRNA". It matches the Rfam family "Archaeal small subunit ribosomal RNA", at positions 1 to 933 of the family's 1478-position model. Lineage: Archaea; Methanobacteriati; Methanobacteriota; Methanomicrobia; Methanosarcinales; Candidatus Methanoperedentaceae. The record is from RNAcentral.